GACGAACCGUGCGAACGUUGUUCGGAUUCACUGGGCUUAAAGGGCGCGUAGGCGGCUUGGCAAGCCCGGGGUGAAAGCCCCCAGCCCAACUGGGGAAGUGCCCCGGGGACUGCCAAGCUCGAGCGGGAUAGGGGCAGCUGGAACUUUCGGUGGAGCGGUGAAAUGCGUAGAUAUCGGAAGGAACGCCGGUGGCGAAAGCGAGCUGCUGGAUCCCCCCUGACGCUGAGGCGCGAAAGCGUGGGGAGCAAACAGG
This 253-nucleotide ribosomal RNA is filed under the name uncultured bacterium. Its description in RNAcentral is "partial 16S ribosomal RNA". It matches the Rfam family "Bacterial small subunit ribosomal RNA", at positions 524 to 776 of the family's 1533-position model. The record is from RNAcentral.